Molecule: ribosomal RNA, 566 nt
Filed under: Peltophryne peltocephala (Tschudi's Caribbean toad)
Lineage: Eukaryota; Metazoa; Chordata; Amphibia; Anura; Bufonidae
Description: Peltophryne peltocephalus (Tschudi's Caribbean toad) partial 16S ribosomal RNA
Rfam family: Bacterial large subunit ribosomal RNA
Source: RNAcentral
CGCCUCUUGAAUUUAUAUAAGAGGUCCAGCCUGCCCAGUGACCCUGUUCAACGGCCGCGGUAUCCUAACCGUGCGAAGGUAGCGUAAUCACUUGUUCUUUAAAUGAGGACUAGUAUGAACGGCAUCACGAAGGUUAUACUGUCUCCUUUUUCYAAUCAGUGAAYCUAAUCUCCCCGUGAAGAAGCGGGRAUAWAACUAUAAGACGAGAAGACCCUAUGGAGCUUAARACAAYACAGCACUUGCUAAAAAAUYUAASMAUUCCMGAAUUUUUCAYUUUMUARGCAACAUGACUGURAGUUUUUGGUUGGGGUGACCACGGAGUAYAAYAYAACCUCCAYGUUGAAAGAAUUUUWUUCUAAGCCRAAAAUUACAYUUUUAAGCAUCAAUAARUUGACAUCUAUUGACCCAAUAUAUUUGAACAACGAACCAAGUUACCCUAGGGAUAACAGCGCAAUCCACUUCAAGAGCUCCUAUCGACAAGUGGGUUUACGACCUCGAUGUUGGAUCAGGGUUUCCCAGUGGUGCAGCCGCUACUAAAGGUUCGUUUGUUCAACGAUUAAAACCCU